UGGGGAAUAUUGCACAAUGGGCGCAAGCCUGAUGCAGCCAUGCCGCGUGUAUGAAGAAGGCCCUAGGGUUGUAAAGUACUUUCAGUCGGGAGGAAGGCGUUGAUGCUAAUAUCAUCAACGAUUGACGUUACCGACAGAAGAAGCACCGGCUAACUCCGUGCCAGCAGCCGCGGUAAUACGGAGGGUGCAAGCGUUAAUCGGAAUUACUGGGCGUAAAGCGCACGCAGGCGGUUGAUUAAGUUAGAUGUGAAAUCCCCGGGCUUAACCUGGGAAUGGCAUCUAAGACUGGUCAGCUAGAGUCUUGUAGAGGGGGGUAGAAUUCCAUGUGUAGCGGUGAAAUGCGUAGAGAUGUGGAGGAAUACCGGUGGCGAAGGCGGCCCCCUGGACAAAGACUGACGCU
Molecule: ribosomal RNA, 400 nt
Filed under: uncultured bacterium
Lineage: Bacteria
Description: bacterial SSU rRNA
Rfam family: Bacterial small subunit ribosomal RNA
Source: RNAcentral